Molecule: ribosomal RNA, 301 nt
Filed under: uncultured bacterium
Lineage: Bacteria
Description: partial 16S ribosomal RNA
Rfam family: Bacterial small subunit ribosomal RNA
Source: RNAcentral
CAGUAGCCGCGGGAAUACGAAGGUCCCGAGCGUUGUUCGGAAUCACUGGGCGUAAAGGGAGCGUAGGCGGCGUGGUAAGUCAGAUGUGAAAUCCCGGGGCUCAACCCCGGAACUGCAUCCGAUACUGCCAUGCUAGAGGAUUGGAGAGGUAGCUGGAAUUCUUGGUGUAGCAGUGAAAUGCGUGGAGAUCAAGAGGAACACUCGUGGCGAAAGCGAGCUACUGGACAAUAACUGACGCUGAGGCUCGAAGGCCAGGGUAGCGAAAGGGAUUAGAUACCCCCGUAGUCCCUGUCUCUUAUAC